AUUGAACGCUGGCGGCAUGCUUUACACAUGCAAGUCGAACGAGUGGCGAACGGGGGAGUAAUAUAUCGGAACGUACCGAGUAAGGGGGAAUAACCAAUCGAAAGAUUGGCUAAUACCGCAUAUUAUUCGAGCGGCCGAUAACUGAUUAGCUGGUUGGUGGGGUAAAGGCCUACCAAGGCGACGAACCGUAGCGGGUCUGAGAGGACGAACCGCCACACUGGGACUGAGGCACGGUCCCGAAUCCUACGGGAGGCAGAAGUGGGGAAGUUUGGACAAUGGGGGCAACCCUGAUUCAGCCAUGCCGCGUGUAUGAAUAAGGCCUUCGGGUUGGAAAGUACUUUUUGUAGGGAAGCGGUACCUAAAGAAUAAGCACCGGCUAACUACGUGCCAGCAGCCGCGGUAAUUC
Molecule: ribosomal RNA, 406 nt
Filed under: uncultured bacterium
Lineage: Bacteria
Description: partial 16S ribosomal RNA
Rfam family: Bacterial small subunit ribosomal RNA
Source: RNAcentral